ACAUGCUGCGGCGCUACACGCACAAAGUUUUUGUGGACUACGACGAGGUGCCGCCGUACGACGAGUUCGACCCGCGGCCGUUCCCGUCCUGGCCGGCGAUGUCGAUCGGCGUCAAGCUGCGCGUGGUGAGCGCCGUGCAGGACGACGAGGACGAGGCCAUGGCGAGGGCGGGCGGCGUCGCCGUCGACCCCCCGGUCGAGCGCUCCUUCCGCCUGCCCUGCGUCGACCUCGCCCCCGACUCCGGCUCCCUCCAGUGGAAGGCGGUCGAGGCCGCGGCGCGCAGCUUCGCGUCCGACGUCGUGCUCGCCACCGCGCCCGCGCGGGCCUCCGUCGCGGCGGAGUUCGCGUCGCUCUCCACCUUGCUGGUGUACGACGGCCGCUUCGUGCGCUGCUCCGUGCUGCCGGUGAUCUUCGAGAUCGCCGUCGUCUCCGUCUUCCCCGCCUGGAGGCCGCCGCCGGCCGAACCCAUGCCCGCCCUCGAGUCGGCGAUCGAUGGGCUGACGGAUCCCUCGCAGCCCCCGCCGGUCCUCGCCGAGGGGGACGACGUCUGUGUGGUCUGCUUCGCGGAGCUCACCGCCGAGCCGGCCACCCGCCUGCCCUGCAGCCACGUCUUCCACCGGCGGUGCAUCGCCCGGUGGCUGCGCAGCAGCUGCGCCUGCCCCCUCUGCCGCUUCGCCAUGCCCCAUUGAUUGCAGAGUAAUUUAUUUUAUUUAUUCUUUUUACAACGUAUUUUUGGUUGAUAUAUUUUUUUUUAGAUUUUGACUAGUUUGGAAUCUACUCUGUAGCAUUAUUAUUGUAGAGUAAACAUAGUGUAAUACAACACACAAUUGAAUUGAAGCGCUUCGAUGUUACUCCAAUAAGCAGUUACAGCGAUACAAUCAAUCUUAGUGAUCUUAGUGAUCCUAGUGAUCCGUAGUUUCGGACAUGAUCUAUUGCAUGCAUGCAUGCAAUGAGAUAGGUCUUCUGGGUCUAUAAAAAACGAGAGAAGGGUUAAAGCAACUGCGUGUAGAAGAUGUUUCAGGCGUAAUUCUUCUCUUGAUUAGUGAAUUUUAUUUCACCUUUGUAUUUUUGCUUCUUUCGCCUUAGAGAGAUGAAUUUGUGGUGAAAAUUCGAUUUGAUGCUUUCGUUGCGAAAUACAAACAAUCGAUACCAAGUCUUCUUUUGAUUAGUGAUUUUUAUUUCAUCCGUAUUUUUUGGUUUUUCCCUCUCCUUUUGUAUUAGAACGAGGGAUUUACGAUAAAAAUUCGAUUUGAUGCUUUCGUUGCGGAAUUCUAACAAUUACUAUUUCUCAAAAUCUGGCACCGAAGCCAAAACCAGAUUAAUGUAGACAUGCACCAAUUUUUUUACGAAGCAACAUAAAUAUCCUCAUACUAUAAAAUUACAGAGCAUCGGAGGACUCGUGUUGCUCAUAAUGUGUAUGUAGCACAUAUUUUGUUGCUUCACUUGGAGGGAUUAUCUACGUUUCGUUGUUCGUCUCUUGCUGUUAUAAGAUGCAUUUAUAGGUUGCAAUCCAUGCGUACACCAAUGUUUUGAAACUUAAACGCAACCCGGAAAAUUCAUUACCCUGCAAUUCAAGUAGUGUAACUCUAGUUUACGUCUUGGAAUCCUGGAAAUCUUGUGCAAACAAUUAUUGUUAUCCUCAAAUGUAAUUUUUUCUGCCUUGCAGCAAUAUUGUCUCUAUUACAUGAGCGCCGAUUACUUGGCAUUGUAGAAUUUAUAUUACGACUUUCUUGACGAAUCAUCGGUGCAGGCUCGAUAGAUCUUUCAUCGGUUUCAUUGAGAUUUUAAGCUCGAUUUAUGGUUUUUUUAGAAGUAAUUACUAAAGAGCAAGUAUUGGAAUGAAUAAGUUGUUUGCUCCCACCAGCGUGUUAUGGGUACUCCCAGAACCUAAUUAACUUUUGAUUCUUGCUUAUUAAAUCAUAUAUUCUUCUGAUCUGUUAUAUCAACAUUGGAUCUUUCUCUCAUUUUAAUUUGGUAGCAAAACUGAGGUGCAAAUUAUCAGGUUGCAUCUAGGCUCUGUACUCUGUUAUAUGAAGUUAAUAUUUUGGAUCUUUCUCUGAUAUAUAAUUAUCUUACACUAAUAUUAAUAUGAACAGUUUAUUAACUAUGGAAUACAUGCAGAAAUUACCAUAACACAAAAUAGAAAAUUUUAUGUGACCAGAAACUUUCAUAUAAAGAAAUUUAACAGCUUCUUCUGUUUAAAUGCAUUUCUGUAAGCAGUCGGUCUUUUCAGUUACGAUUUUCAAAUAUCUAGAAGGUCAAAGCUUUGCGUGGAUUAUGUCUAACUGUUAAUAUUGGAAUCGUUAUUGCUUUCUUUCCCCUAUCGGAGGAGGUCUUCUUCUUAGAUUCCUGCGAAGAUUUGAACCUUGUACUCCGGUGCUUCUUGUCGGACUAACUGUUGCUGCUCUCUUUUCUUGUAAGAGGAGAGAACCCUCUCCAACAGUAACCUUAUUUUACUCUGGCCAUAAAAUUUCUUCCAACAAUAAGGUAUUUUUUCGCGGAAGCAAUAGUUUCUUCACGUCUAAUUUAUAUGUAACCACCAAUAUUAUGAUGAAAUUUGUUAAGAUUAGCGUACCAUCAAACAAACUCUGUUGGUUCUCUCACAGCUAAAGUUGUGGCUAAAAUAAUAUUUGGUUGCUUUUCUUUAGACCAUAGACUAUAGAAUUUCGAAUUAAACCGUCUAUAUAAAGGAUAAUAUUUUUACCAAUUGUGUUAGAAUCUGUAUCAAAUGCCACUGGAUAAAUAAACAAUAUAUGCCUUUCUUUUUUCCUGCUGCUUUUUCCUUUUUCCUUUUACUUGUAUUUGCACCACCUUUCCGAGUGAAAAGCUCUUUCCAUUUGCACUCCUUCGUGCCUUUGCAUACUUGCAUUUUCUAAUCCUCUUAGCAUGACACUUGCUCUCAAUUUUGUUUUUUCUUUUCAAAAAAGAAGAAGAAGAAGAGAGCAGUAAAUAUGAAAGAAGCAUGAUACAGAGUUGCAGAGGACAUCAACACUUUUGUCCCCAGAUCGAAAUUUGUUUUAAGCUGGGUUGAAUUAGUUAAGGAAAUGUUCUGAUACAUUAGCAGAAAAAAAAAAAAGAAAAA
This is an RNA transcript of Ananas comosus (pineapple), 3082 nucleotides long. It is a transcript of the gene named E3 ubiquitin-protein ligase RNF6-like, with no coding region annotated. The record is from RefSeq and is a predicted model, not a curated record. Lineage: Eukaryota; Viridiplantae; Streptophyta; Magnoliopsida; Poales; Bromeliaceae. The transcript is spliced from 2 exons.